Non-coding RNA from Dermacentor albipictus, 433 nucleotides. The record is from RefSeq and is a predicted model, not a curated record. Lineage: Eukaryota; Metazoa; Arthropoda; Arachnida; Ixodida; Ixodidae.
AACAGGAAGGCCCUGAUUGGAGGAGUGUGCCUGGCGGUCUUGUCUACAGCAUCAACCCUGGCUGUUGCGCUGCAGGUCUACUCCUACCGCUAUGGCGCCUUCAUCUUCAUGGGAUCACUGCAGAUGGAGAGCACUGCUGAUCAUAUCCGUCUCGUCUACAUGCUGCCUCACCAACAUUUCGUCUCUUUCGUCGUGGGUGUAUUCGAAGCUUACGUAUUCGUGAACAAAAAGCUGUGGUCGACUACACGGGUGCGUGUCGCAGUGCUGUGGGUCGUGGCUAUCGCGAUCACAACAUUGGUGUGCUUGUUUCCCUACGCGUGGGAUUCGGCUGCGAUUCCUUACGACCCUGCGCUAGCGGCCCUGUAUGCCUCUCUCUAUCCCCUGCUUUGGAGCGUCUCGGUUACCUGGAUGCUGCACUCUUGCAUCACGGGGA